This 275-nucleotide ribosomal RNA is filed under the name uncultured bacterium. RNAcentral describes it as "partial 16S ribosomal RNA". It matches the Rfam family "Bacterial small subunit ribosomal RNA", at positions 338 to 606 of the family's 1533-position model. The record is from RNAcentral.
CCUACGGGUGGCUGCAGUGGGGAAUCUUGCGCAAUGGACGAAAGUCUGACGCAGCGACGCCGCGUGGGUGAUGAAGGCCUUCGGGUUGUAAAGCCCUGUGGGGAGAGACGAAUAAGUGUUGGCUAAUAUCCAGCGCGAUGACGGUAUCUCCUUAGCAAGCACCGGCUAACUCUGUGCCAGCAGCCGCGGUAAGACAGAGGGUGCAAACGUUGUUCGGAAUUACUGGGCGUAAAGCGUGUGUAGGCGGCUUUGUAAGUCGGAUGUGAAAGCCCCGG